This 1274-nucleotide long non-coding RNA is filed under the name Gossypium barbadense (sea-island cotton). RNAcentral describes it as "long non-coding RNA (GBAR_LNC017918)". Lineage: Eukaryota; Viridiplantae; Streptophyta; Magnoliopsida; Malvales; Malvaceae. The record is from RNAcentral.
UCCAUUAAACCAUUUAAACGAAGAGAUAAGAAAUAGUUGAAGAUUUUCAUCAAUUUCUCUUGGACUAAAUUGCUGGUGACUAGUAACCUUCCUUGGCCCCAAUGUGAUGAAGAAUACAAGUUAUCUUUGCUUCAAAAUCAUUUUCUAACAUUUUUCAAAACUUGAAAUGUGGAUGCCAAAACUACACAAUAUUUAUCCUAUUACUCGUCAAACUUUUAUUUCAUGUUUUUCAUAAACAAAAUAUCCAUUCUUUCACCUUUCUUAACAAACUUCAAUUUAAUCUUACAAACACUUCCAUAAUAUAAGUUGGUAGUAAGAUAAUUUAUCAAAAAGAUAUUUUUAGAGGAAACUAAAGGGGAUGGUUGCUAUCCAUAUGUGUAUGUCUAUGUUUGCAGCAGUAAGCAACAACCAAUCACUUCAUCGAUCGGUUCACAGACUGACAAAGUUGUUGAAUCCCUUCAAAAUAGAUAUUGAUUCCACUAAAUUAACUUGUAGAAAUAGUGCAAUCAAGUCGAAUCCCAAGAAAGCUAAAUUUAUUAGAAUCUCAGAGUUUAGACAAGAAGAGUAAAAUUGGGGGGUUUUGAAUUAUUGAACUAAAAUUAAUGAUAAACAAGAAAUUAAUUAAAACCUGAAUAUUAAAAUUAAUGAGAAUCAAAUCUUCCAAACUUCCAAUUGAAAGGUGUAAAUUUCAUCCAAUUGUAAUUCCGAUAAUAGGCUUAAAAAUUACUUUCUCUUAUCCAAUUUCUUUAGUCUUCUUAUUUGGAAAAGCUGCAACAAGUUUAGUUCUCCUAAUAUAAUUGAUUCUGACUAAUUGUUCGAAUCAAAACUUACCACUAAACAACAAGGCACGAUAGCAUUCCAUAUUAAAUUCAAUGACAACAUUAAGAAUCAUGAGAAAGACUAAACCAAAAUCAGUUAAUUGAGGUAGCCACAGUUAAAUUAAUCUUGUACAUUAAUUUCCCUGGAGGAUAUCAUGCAAGCUAUGUAAUUGAGAAAGCCACAACAACACACACAUGUUGCUACUUAUAUAAAUCAUUCAUGACAAUUACGGAUCACAAACUCAUGGAUAUCAAUAGAAAAUUCAAUAUUGAAUUAAGGCAUCAAUUUAAUCAACAUAAAAAAUUCAUAAGAAUAAGAACAAGAAAUAAAUAUUACUUGAAUUAAAGAAGAAGUUUCGGUUUAGCACAAGCCUCACGAAAUCAUUGUUGAAUUGAUUCACAUUUGAAUCACAAAUAAAAACUUAGCCACACAUAAUGGAAAAGUUCACAUGGGUU